RNAcentral lists this long non-coding RNA (200 nucleotides) under Capsicum annuum. RNAcentral describes it as "long non-coding RNA (CANN_LNC001013)". Lineage: Eukaryota; Viridiplantae; Streptophyta; Magnoliopsida; Solanales; Solanaceae. The record is from RNAcentral.
UGCAUAAAAAAUAUAAAAGAAAUAAUAGAAAAGGUAAGGGUCCCCAUGUAAUAUCUAAGAAAUUGUAGGAACAUGUCCCUCUAAUAGAACCUUAAGAUAGGUAUCAAUUCACUAGAAUGAUCUAGGUGGUACAAUGGAUAAAAUUAUUGGAUAUGUCCUCAUAGAGAAAGUCUUCUAAUGUUUGAAGUUGUGGGGCCCAU